This 377-nucleotide ribosomal RNA is filed under the name uncultured bacterium. RNAcentral's name for it is "bacterial SSU rRNA". It matches the Rfam family "Bacterial small subunit ribosomal RNA", at positions 523 to 898 of the family's 1533-position model. The record is from RNAcentral.
AUACGUAGGGGGCGAGCGUUGUCCGGAAUUACUGGGCGUAAAGGGCGUGUAGGCGGGGGUGCAAGUUAUCGGUAAAACCCCGAGGCUCAACCACGGGCCUGCCGAUAAAACUGCAUCUCUUGAGUGCAGGAGAGGGGAAUGGAAUUCCCGGAGUAGCGGUGAAAUGCGUAGAUACCGGGAGGAACACCAGUGGCGAAGGCGGUUCCCUGGCCUGUAACUGACGCUGAGGCGCGAAAGCUGGGGUAGCGAACGGGAUUAGAUACCCCGGUAGUCCCAGCCGUAAACGAUGGUCACUAGGUGUGGGGGGUGUUCAAGCCUUCCGUGCCGGAGCUAACGCAAUAAGUGACCCGCCUGGGGAGUACGGCCGCAAGGUUGAA